UCCUACGGGGGGCAGCAGUGGGGAAUAUUGCACAAUGGGGGAAACCCUGAUGCAGCAACGCCGCGUGAGUGAAGAAGUAUUUCGGUAUGUAAAGCUCUAUCCGCAGGGAAGAAGAUGACGGUACCUGAUUAAGAAGCCCCGGCUAACUACGUGCCAGCAGCCGCGGUAAUACGUAGGGGGCAAGCGUUAUACGGAUUUACUGAGUGUAAAGGGAGCGUAUUUGGCGUGCAAAGUCAGGAGGGAAAACCCAGGGCCCAACCC
This 261-nucleotide ribosomal RNA is filed under the name uncultured bacterium. RNAcentral describes it as "partial 16S ribosomal RNA". It matches the Rfam family "Bacterial small subunit ribosomal RNA", at positions 337 to 615 of the family's 1533-position model. The record is from RNAcentral.